This 253-nucleotide ribosomal RNA is filed under the name uncultured bacterium. RNAcentral describes it as "partial 16S ribosomal RNA". It matches the Rfam family "Bacterial small subunit ribosomal RNA", at positions 524 to 776 of the family's 1533-position model. The record is from RNAcentral.
UACGAAGGGGGCUAGCGUUGCUCGGAAUUACUGGGCGUAAAGCGCACGUAGGCGGCUUUGUAAGUUAGAGGUGAAAGCCCGGAGCUCAACUCCGGAACUGCCUUUAAGACUGCAUCGCUUGAAUCAUGGAGAGGUCAGUGGAAUUCCGAGUGUAGAGGUGAAAUUCGUAGAUAUUCGGAAGAACACCAGUGGCGAAGGCGACUGACUGGACAUGUAUUGACGCUGAGGUGCGAAAGCGUGGGGAGCAAACAGG